This 329-nucleotide unclassified non-coding RNA is filed under the name soil metagenome. RNAcentral describes it as "partial contains 5.8S ribosomal RNA, internal transcribed spacer 2, and large subunit ribosomal RNA". The stretch from base 1 to 120 matches the Rfam family "5.8S ribosomal RNA", at positions 35 to 154 of the family's 154-position model. The record is from RNAcentral.
GAUGAAGAACGCAGCGAAAUGCGAUAAGUAAUGUGAAUUGCAGAAUUCAGUGAAUCAUCGAAUCUUUGAACGCACAUUGCGCCCCUUGGUAUUCCGAGGGGCAUGCCUGUUCGAGCGUCAUUAUAACCCCUCAAGCUCAGCUUGGUGUUGGGGCCUGCUGCACUGGCAGCCCUUAAAAUCAGUGGCGGCGCCAUCUGGCUCUAAGCGUAGUAAUUCUUCUCGCUAUGGAGUCCUGGUGGAUGCUUGCCAUCAACCCCCAAUUUUUCUAUGGUUGAACUCGGAUCAGGUAGGGAUACCCGCUGAACUUAAGCAUAUCAAUAAGCGGAGGA